AUGGCGCACGCCAUCGUCGAAAGCUCAUGGGCCAAGCUCACAUCCGCCAUCCAAGACGGGGCCGCGCCGGCGCCGCGGCACCCCGACCUCACCAGCGACCUGCGGAAAAUGCUGGAGGCGCUGGACGUCGUGAGGCCGCUGCUGGAGGAGGCCGAGAGGCGGUCGCUGCUCAAGGAGGCGUUGCGGAUCAGGAACGCCGCCGUCCGCAUCUGCGACCUGGUGGACGAGUUGCACCACGACUCGUGGGCGCCGGCUGAUGGAAAGGUGUUGUGGAACUCAUCAAGAUCUUCGUCUGGGCGAGUAUGA
RNAcentral lists this ribosomal RNA (306 nucleotides) under Triticum aestivum (bread wheat). RNAcentral's name for it is "partial small subunit ribosomal RNA". The record is from RNAcentral. Lineage: Eukaryota; Viridiplantae; Streptophyta; Magnoliopsida; Poales; Poaceae.